This is a regulatory RNA element of Daphnia magna, 46 nucleotides long. It matches the Rfam family "Histone 3' UTR stem-loop". Rfam says of the family: The mRNAs of metazoan histone genes lack a poly-A tail. 3' end processing occurs at a site between a highly conserved stem-loop (modelled by this family) and a purine rich region around 20 nts downstream (the histone downstream element, or HDE). NCBI's taxonomy places the organism in Eukaryota, Metazoa, Arthropoda, Branchiopoda, Diplostraca, Daphniidae. The record is from Rfam.
CAAACGGCCCUUUUCAGGGCCACCACAUUUUCAAGUUAAGAGAUCA